UACGAAUGGAGCGAGCGUUGUUCGGAAUCACUGGGCGUAAAGCGUGCGCAGGCGGUCUUGAAAGUCAGAAGUGAAAGCCCCGGGCUUAACCCGGGAAUUGCUUUUGAAACUCCAAGACUAGAGUACUGGAGGGGUUGGCGGGAUUCCGAGUGUAGCAGUGAAAUGCGUAGAUAUUCGGAGGAACAUCGAUGGCGUAGGCAGCCAACUGGACAGUAACUGACGCUCAGGCACGAAAGCGUGGGGAUCAAACAGG
Molecule: ribosomal RNA, 253 nt
Filed under: uncultured bacterium
Lineage: Bacteria
Description: partial 16S ribosomal RNA
Rfam family: Bacterial small subunit ribosomal RNA
Source: RNAcentral